Molecule: ribosomal RNA, 515 nt
Filed under: uncultured Alphaproteobacteria bacterium
Lineage: Bacteria; Pseudomonadati; Pseudomonadota; Alphaproteobacteria
Description: bacterial SSU rRNA
Rfam family: Bacterial small subunit ribosomal RNA
Source: RNAcentral
GAGUUUGAUCCUGGCUCAGAGCGAACGCUGGCGGCAGGCCUAACACAUGCAAGUCGAACGAACUCUUCGGAGUUAGUGGCGGACGGGUGAGUAACACGUGGGAACGUGCCUUUAGGUUCGGAAUAACUCAGGGAAACUUGUGCUAAUACCGAAUGUGCCCUUCGGGGGAAAGAUUUAUCGCCUUUAGAGCGGCCCGCGUCUGAUUAGCUUGUUGGUGGGGUAAUGGCCCACCAAGGCUACGAUCAGUAGCUGGUCUGAGAGGAUGACCAGCCACAUUGGGACUAAGACACGGCCCAAACUCCUACGGGAGGCAGCAGUGGGGAAUCUUGCGCAAUGGGCGAAAGCCUGACGCANNCAUGCCGCGUGUAUGAUGAAGGUCUUAGGAUUGUAAAAUACUUUCACCGGUGAAGAUAAUGACUGUAGCCGGAGAAGAAGCCCCGGCUAACUUCGUGCCAGCAGCCGCGGUAAUACGAAGGGGGCUAGCGUUGCUCGGAAUUACUGGGCGUAAAGGGAGC